AACGAACGCUGGCGGCAGGCUUAACACAUGCAAGUCGAACGGGUGUAGCAAUACAUCAGUGGCAGACGGGUGAGUAACACGUGGGAACCUUCCUAGGGGUACGGAACAACUCAGGGAAACUUGAGCUAAUACCGUAUACGUCCGUGAGGAGAAAGAUUUAUCGCCCUUAGACGGGCCCGCGGCGGGUUGGCUAGUUGGUGGGGUAACGGCCUACCAAGGCUACGAUCCGUAGCUGAGCUUAGAGGAUGAUCAGCCCCACUGGGACUGGGACACGGCCCAGGCUCCUAAGGGGGGCAGCAGUGGGGAAUCUUGGACAAUGGGCGCAGGCCUGAUCCAGCGAUGCCGCGUGAGUGAAGAAGGUCUUCGGACUGUAAAGCUAUUUUGCCAGGGACGAUAAUGACGGUACCUGGAGAAUAAGCCCCGGCAAACUUCGUGCCAGCCGCCGCCGUAA
RNAcentral lists this ribosomal RNA (451 nucleotides) under uncultured bacterium. Its description in RNAcentral is "partial 16S ribosomal RNA". It matches the Rfam family "Bacterial small subunit ribosomal RNA", at positions 29 to 523 of the family's 1533-position model. The record is from RNAcentral.